GUAGGUCCCCAGUCCUUGUCCCUUUGGAGGAAAAACUCAGCAAAGAGACAGAGUAGUGAGGCAAAUAAAGUGUUUACUAAGAAUGAAGACAGGGGCGCCCGUUGUCGCUCAGCGGGUUAAGAACCCGACUAGUAUCCACGAAGAGGCAGGUUCAAUCCCUGGCCUCGCUCAGUGGGUCGAGGAUCCAGCCCACAAAGUGCACCUCGGCGCAGAUGCAGCUCAGUUCUGGCAUUGCUGUGGCUGGGGUGUAGACAGGCAGCCGUAGCUCUUACUCUCCUCCUAACCUGGAACGUCCAUGUGCGGUUGUGGCCCUAAAAAGACAUAAAAAAAAAAAAAAAAAAAAGAGGAGGCAGCCCAGGUGGGUUGGGGGUGCGGGGGAGGGAGACAGAGAAGGAGGUAGUUUGAAUCCCUUGCAAGGGGGCGAUCCUUCUGGGCGUCCUCUGGCCAAUCGUCUUGGUUUGUCUGGCUUUGGGCCCAUAUCUGGCCUGGCUCAGGGCCCUCGCCCGUGCGCCAGCAUCUUUUAGCGGAGGUGGAUUCUUAGCACAGAGGUUUCUGGGACAAGAUGCACUGUGGUCGGGUGGCCACUCCACCCUCUGAACCCAGAGAAACCUUUCUGCGCAUGUGUCCUUCCAGGGGGCUCCUCGACCUCCAGGAUGAGCAACGGGGUCUCCACCUUUUACCCGAGCAGGAUGCAGCUCCUCCUGGCUCGUGCUGUCCUCUUUACCUUGAAGUGUCUGUGCACAGGGAGCCGAUUCCAGUUGCUCAGCCUGGGGCCCGUCUACCUCCUGCCUCGCCUUCGUAGGCGCCGUCACACGGCCGGGGAGAGCAGCGAGCUCUGGCACCUGCUGCCCUUGGGUGCCCGGAUCGCAGACACGGAACAGCGUGUGUAUUGGAGAACCCAGGGCAGCUCCGCCACCCAGAUUGACCACCAGCACGGACGCAGGAGGGUGACCCCUGUCCUGAGAAAUACAGUUUGAAACUCAGGACAACGCCUCUGCAUCUCUUGCCCUUUGUCCCUUAAAGAGCGUCUGAAGCCGUGAGGGUUUGUGGUCUGUGCCACCACCUUCGCAGGACACACAGUGCCCUGGAGUGGGGGAGGAGGCCCUCAGGUGAGGAGGGCAUGAAUGAACUUGUCAUAUCCUUCUUCUCACAGUGUGAAUGCUGUAACUUUUUUUUUUUUGCAACCAAACAAACUCUCUAUUAAAGGAAAGCAAAGAGCUCCCAGGGCUGCUGGGAGUGGGGAGAAGAGCCCCUGUAAUUUUUUUUUCUUUCUUUUUUCUUUUUAGGGCCACACUCGCAGCAUAAGGAGGUUCCAAGGCUAGGGGUCUAAUCGGAACUAUAGCCACCAGCCUACACUACAGCCACAGCAACGCCAGAUCUGAGCCACAUCAGCAACCUACACCACAGCUCAAGGCAACGCCACAUCCUUAACCCACCAAGCGAGGCCAGGGAUCGAACCUGUGUCCUCAUGGAUGCUAGUCAGAUUCAUUAACUGCUAAGCCAUGGUGGGGAACUCUGAGCCCCUGUAAUUUAAAAAAAAUUUUUUUUUUAAUUUUCAAAGUUGUAUAGUCAUUUCAAUUUUUUUUUUCCCCGCUGCACAGCAUGGGGAUCAAGUUAUUCUUACAUGUAUACAUUUUUUCCCCACCCUUUGUUCCGUUGCAACAUGAGUAUCUAGACAUAGUUCUCAAUGCUACUCAGCAGGAUCUCCUUGUAAAUCUAUUCCAAGUUGUAUCUGAUAAGCCCAAGCUCCCGAUCCCUCCUACUCCCUCCCUCUCCUGUCCGUCAGCCACAAGUCUAUUCUCCAAGUCCAUGAUUUUCUUUUCUGUGGAGAUGUUCAUUUGUGCUGGAUAUUAGAUUCUAGUUAUAAGUGAUCUCAUAUGGUAUUUGUCUUUGUCUUUCUGGCUCAUUUCACUCAGUAUGAGAGUCUCUAGUUCCAUCCAUGUUGCUGCAAAUGGCAUUAUGUCAUUCUUUUUUAUGGCUGAGUAGUAUUCCAUUGUGUACAUAUACCACAUCUUCCGAAUCCAAUCAUCUGUUGAUGGACAUUUGGGUUGUUUAAUUUUUUUUAAUUAAAAAAAAAUUUUUUUUUGUCUCUUUAGGGACACACCUGAGGCAUAGGCAAGCUCCCAGGCUAGGGGUGGAAUCAGAAUUGUAGCUGCUGGCCUACAACACAUCCGCAGCAACACAAGAUCCAAGCCGCGUCUGUGACCUACAUCACAGCUCACGGCAAUGCCAGAUCUUUAACCCACUGAGGGAAGCCGGGGAUCAAACCUGCAUCCUCAUGGAUACUAGCCAGGUUCAUUACUGCUGAGCCACAGCGGGAACUCCAGAUUUUUAUAUAAUCAAGUACCAUUUACCAAUACUACCAAGCAUCUGUCUUCUUGCUUCUCUUUGUGUUCACAGCUUGUUUUCACCAUGGAGUUGGCGCAGGAUUCACUGCAGUUGCAGGGAAUAGAAAAGGAACAUUUUUUGCAACAAUUCUCAGCACCCUUAAAAUUGUAUGUGUUAGUCUAGAUGUGAGCUUAAGAAGCAUGGUGCACAAUCUUUAUGUUGAUAGCUAGAUGGCCUCUGAAUGCUGGAAUUGCAAAUCGUUUUACUUUUAUCAGAAUGUUUAAAAAGAUGUAAUGAAAUUUUUCAAAAAUUAACACUAAGAUUCAGCAUCACUGAGAUAAUUUCGAAGUUCACCGAGAGUGAGGUCUAAGCCAUAAUGGUGGCAGAUGUGGUUGAUAAACAGAAAGUUUUACCUACAGAGCAUUGGCCAAAAGUCCAAAAAUACUUGUACAUCUGGCCUAUACAGCACACAUUUGAAUUUUUUAUUAGGAAAUAUGUUAUCAGCUGUUUCAACAGUAAUUCAGGGAUUGUAUACUCUAUUUUCUGGAUCUUACCAAAGAUGAAAUAGUUUGAUAAAACAAAGCAAUGACCUUAAAAUCAUUCUUGGAUUUGUGUGACAGGAAUGCUGUUUGGAUCUGUUAAAGCAAUUAGAUUGAUUUUAGCGAAAACACAAGGUGCACUACAAGAGUUAACUGAAACAAUAGAAAAAAAAUCUCAAAACAAAAUGUGAAUCAUGAUUUCAGUGAAAAAUUAAUUUUGAAUUCAUGGUAACCAUUGUUAUUUAAUACUAACUGUUGCUUAUGAUUAAUAAUAUUACUAACAUUUAACAAAAACUUUCAAAACUAUCUCAGUUUGGCUACUUCACUUGUAAAGGAAUGAAAAAAUAGUUCUUAAAAUGUCAGAGCCAGUGGGUUUUCUAAAUCAAAGUAAACUGCAAGAAAUUUGUUGAAAAUAUUCCAGUAAAAUAUAACAACACUAUAGCAAGGAAAUUUAGGUACUUACCUGUCAAACAGGUCAUUCAUGUAUAAAUAAUUACCAAUUAUUUCUAAUUUUAAUUAAGACUAUGUUUCUAGCCAUUAUAGAUCAUAAUACAGUCUUAACUGAAGAGAGAUUUGAAUAAGUUAGAUCAUGACCCACUAAUUUUUGUGUCUUUUAUAACCCAAUGUUGACACAUUUGAAAUAAGAAUCUAAUAACGUAUCUAGAUAUUACCCGAAAAGAUAUUCCUUUAACAUAUUUAUUUAUUUUUUUUUUUUUUUUGUUUUUGUUUUUGUUUGUCUUUUUGCCAUUUCUUGGGCCGCUCCCACGGCAUAUGGAGGUUCCCAGGCUAGGGGUCUAAUCAGAGCUGUAGCUGCCAGCCACAGCUACGCCAGAUCCAAGCCACGUCUGCGACCUACACCACAGCUCAUGGCAACGCCGGAUCCUUAACCCACUGAGCAAGGCCAGGGACCAAACCCGCAACCUCAUGGUUCCUGGUAGGAUUCGUUAGCCACUGAGCCACGAUGGGAACUCCCAGUUUUUUAAUAUAUGUAAAAUUUGUAUAUAAAGUUCAUUUCCUAAUUUAAGUGUUGGUUUAAUGAUUGGUUGACAAUUCCAAUUACUCCUGCCUUAGCAGAAUGAAAUUUCUCCAAUUGAAUAAUAACCAACCAACAGACUGCAAUGACUUCAGAAAUAUUGGCUAUUUUGUCAUUAUUGUCAAUAGAACACUUAUGAAAAUCUUAGUCAUAUCAGCAUAAUUGGUGAUUUUGCUAAAAUGAAGAUGUCAAAUUAAUUUAUAUAAUAAAUAUAUUGUAAUUAAUUAUGUAUAUGUUACUCAUGCAAGCAUCUCCAGCUCAUCGAUAGGUCACCCACACAUGCACCAUAAUGAUAGUUUGCUACCAGUCACAUAAAAAACAUAGUUUUACGCACAUUUUCUCACUUGUCCUCAUGAAUAUUUAUUUGCCAAGGUAAGAAGAUAGAACAUAUUUUGCUUAAGAGUUUCCAGCUUUUGUGAUAACCGCUAAAUGUUUAGGCAUAUGACUGAUAGGCCUCCAGUGGCCUCUUGCCUUGGGCCACACAAAGGUUGCCCUGGACCUUUGCCUGGAGGGAGAUGGUGUCUGGCCUUGGGCCCACCUUCCCCUGCAGAGCUGUCCUAGCGGAUGCAACUGGAGAGGCCUUUAGGUUCAGCUGAGCAGCUGCGUGGGAUUGCACACACCGUCCCCUUUCUCAUUCUCAGCAGGGAACCCGUGUUCUUUAAGGAGACAGUCAGACAGUCUUUAACCGGAGGGCCAGCCCCUACAGUAUCAUUUAAAAGUGGAGAUGCAGGAAAGGCGAUGCCUUCCUGUGAUUGGCUUUUCGUUGGUGGUGCCUUCUGGUUCGGCCAUCGCUUGGCUGAAUCAGUCAUUAAUGAAGAUGGCAAAGUUGUUUCGUGAUGGGGCAGCUCUCAUCCCAUUGGUACUGUUUAGAGAGGAGAGGAAAGAUGAGUUGAGGAAUUGAGAGAAGUCUUCAAAUAUGUGAAGGAUUUUCUGGGGAGAUUAGAUUUCAUCUGCACGCGGUGAUGCAUGGAUGGUCCUUCAAGCUCUGCUCAGGAUGCUCAGUGGAGGGUGAUGGGGGCUGAAGCCCAGCUCUUGCUCUGCUCCCCGAGCCAUACGCCCUGAUGCCAGGCUGGGUCAGCCGAAGGGGGCACCUCCUCCUCCUCCUCACACAGGUGCUUGGUGGGCCAGCUGGCUCCUACCUGCGAGUCUCCAGACGACAGAAUUCGGCCCAAACAGUGAAGGUUAUACGACUUGUGCUUAGUGUAAGGAAAAGGUUUAUAAAUUUGACCUUGUUAAUCCUUCUAACAAUCCUGAAAAGUGGGUGCAAUUAUUGCCCUCGCUUUCCAGAAAUGAAAACUGAGGUUGAGAAGUUAAGCAUUUGCCCAGCAUUUGAAAAUGGCAAACAAAGGAUGCAAAAGCCAGGCUUUUCUCAUUAAAAAACACGUACACUCUGAUGUGCUAACAGUUUAAACCAUUCUGAGAUGAAACGUGCUGUUUCCAAAGCUAGCAAUUUCCAUAUUUCUGUAUGUGUCUGAGAACAAAUUAAAUGACAGUUCAUCAGAUGUGUCAUAAAGGGGACUCAUAUGCCCACAAAUGGUCGAAUCGUGUGAUGCCAAUACAGACCAGGUUCAGUCGGGAAAACAGAAGCCAGGCUAUGUAUUUCCAGUGCAGAAGGUUCAAUGUAUGGAUUCAGGGGCAUAACCAACCAGUGGAAGAGAGAGGGAGCCAAGAUCAGAGAAGCCACCUGUGAUGAUCUCAGGCUGCCAUAUUUGUUGAAGUGCAAAUUUUGAGAACCUCUGGAAAGUUCCACCUCUUAGUCUAUAGCAGCAAUUGUGGUGAUUCCUUAGAUCUCAGAUCUACUCACGCUUUGAACUAGAUGCUGGGAGUUCCCAUCAUGGCUCAGCAAUAACAAACCCAACUGCUACCCAUAAGGAUGCAGGUUCCAUCCCUGGCCUCGAUCAGUGGGUUAAGGAUCUGACAUUGCCAUGAGUUGUGGUGUAGGUUGCAGAUGUAGCUCAAAUCUGGCAUUGUUGUCGCUGUGGUGUAGGCCAGCAGCUGCAGCUCCAAUUUGACCCCUAGCCUGGGAACUUCCAUAUGCCA
Molecule: long non-coding RNA, 5940 nt
Filed under: Sus scrofa (pig)
Lineage: Eukaryota; Metazoa; Chordata; Mammalia; Artiodactyla; Suidae
Description: lncRNA (ENSSSCG00050017450.1)
Source: RNAcentral